CUCAGGACGAACGCUGGCGGUGUGCCUCAUACAUGCAAGUCGAACGAGAAACUGACUUCGGUCAGUGGAAAGUGGCGGACGGGUGAGUAAUAUGUAGGAAAUCUGCCCUAGAGAGGGGGACAACAGAGGGAAACUUCUGCUAAUACCCCAUAUGAGCUUGGUUGAAAUACCAAUCUUGAAAACUCCGGUGCUCUAGGAUGAGCCUGCAUCUGAUUAGCUAGUUGGUGGUGUAAUGGACCACAAAGGCGACGAUCAGUAGCUGGUUUGAGAGGAUGAUCAGCCACAAUGGGACUGAGACACGGCCCAUACUCCUACGGGAGGCAGCAGUAGGGAAUUUUGCGCAAUGGGGGAAACCCUGAACCGCAGCAACACCGCGUGAAUGUUAAGCCCUUCGGGGUAUAAAGUUCUGUCAAUGGGGAAGAAUAAAUGACUGUACCCAUAAAGGAAGCACCGGCUAACUCCGUGCCAGCCGCAGC
Molecule: ribosomal RNA, 476 nt
Filed under: uncultured bacterium
Lineage: Bacteria
Description: bacterial SSU rRNA
Rfam family: Bacterial small subunit ribosomal RNA
Source: RNAcentral